RNAcentral lists this ribosomal RNA (492 nucleotides) under uncultured bacterium. RNAcentral describes it as "partial 16S ribosomal RNA". It matches the Rfam family "Bacterial small subunit ribosomal RNA", at positions 29 to 507 of the family's 1533-position model. The record is from RNAcentral.
AGUGAACGCUGGCGGUAGGCCUAACACAUGCAAGUCGAACGGCAGCACAGUAAGAGCUUGCUCUUACGGGUGGCGAGUGGCGGACGGGAGAGGAAUACAUCGGAAUCUACUUUUUCGUGGGGGAUAACGUAGGGAAACUUAAGCUAAUACCGCAUACGACCUACGGGUGAAAGCAGGGGAUCUUCGGACCUUGCGCGAUUGAAUGAGCCGAUGUCGGAUUAGCUAGUUGGCGGGGUAAAGGCCCACCCAGGCGACGAUACGUAGCUGGUCUGAGUGGAUGAUCAGCCACACUGGAACUGAGACACGGUCCAUACUCCUACGGGAGGCAGCAGUGGGGAAUAGUGGACAAUGGGCGCAAGCCUGAUCCAGCCAUACCGCGUGGGUGAAGAAGGCCUUCGGGUUGUAAAGCCCUUUUGUUGGGAAAGAAAAGCAGCAGGUUAAGACCCCGCUGUUCUGACGGUACCCAAAGAAUAAGCACCGGCUAACUUCGUG